Molecule: small RNA, 26 nt
Filed under: Bombyx mori (domestic silkworm)
Lineage: Eukaryota; Metazoa; Arthropoda; Insecta; Lepidoptera; Bombycidae
Description: ovarian small RNA-37965
Source: RNAcentral
UUGCUUGAUUGUAAGGUCUCUGUAUU